AACGCAUCUUGCGCUCCUUGGUAUUCCGAGGAGCAUGCCUGUUUGAGUGUCAUUAAAUUCUCAACUCCCCUUUACUUUGUUGUAAAGGAGAGCUUGGACUGUGGAGGCUUGCUGGCCACUUCUCGAGGUCAGCUCCUCUGAAAUGCAUUAGCGGAACCGUUUGCGAUCUGCCACAAGUGUGAUAGACUAUCUACACUAGCGAGGGGAUUGCUCUCUGUCGUUCAGCUUCCAAUCGUCUCAGGACAAUUUCUUGAACGCUUGACCUCAAAUCAGGUAGGACUACCCGCUGAACUUAA
Molecule: unclassified non-coding RNA, 296 nt
Filed under: uncultured fungus
Lineage: Eukaryota; Fungi
Description: partial contains 5.8S ribosomal RNA, internal transcribed spacer 2, and large subunit ribosomal RNA
Rfam family: 5.8S ribosomal RNA (bases 1-52)
Source: RNAcentral